Long non-coding RNA from Canis lupus familiaris (dog), 2132 nucleotides. RefSeq lists it as uncharacterized. Lineage: Eukaryota; Metazoa; Chordata; Mammalia; Carnivora; Canidae. The transcript has 4 exons. The record is from RefSeq and is a predicted model, not a curated record.
UUUCCUGUGUCCGUGCUUGGUUUUGUAAUGCAUUUCAGCAGAUUUAUAUGGGUCCAGAUUUUAAAAUGGGAGUAUGGAAAUAAAAGACGUUAUCACGUAACAUGCACUUCUCACCCUGUCAGAUCAGCACCUGUUGUGCCCAAGAUUGCGAAUGCGAGAAAACCGCCAAGGAGCCGAGGCCGAUGCAAGUACAUGAGGGUUUAUUGAGAAGCUCGAGCUUGGGUCCAAGUACACCCGACACAGCGGAGCAGGGACUUGGAACCUGAGGUUAUUGACUACUGCUGAUGGAUGAGGCGAAAUACUCACAGUGCCAGGAAGAAAUGAAUUCGCUGGUACUGCCAGGAGAAGAGACCAGCGCGGCUAAAAUAGGCGAUGACCAUGGACAAGAGAUACUGGCGGAAAGAGGAGAAAAGCCGUCAUAGAAGGGUCCCAUCCUGGGAGAGGAAGACCAGUGAGUGGCAUCGGGGUACAAAGAUGGCCUGUCCUCCCCUCCCCGCCCCCGCCCCGACACAGCCGAAGGCACUUAGAUUCAAAAGGCCAGUAAGCGCUAAGAUGUCUCAGGAGUGCAACUGCAGCUAAGCUUUCUCAUCCCUCUGUCAUUUUUAAGUGUCCCCGAUGAGGGGUCAGUAUGGAGUCCUCCAAGGAUGGAGAGAGAGAGCUCAGCGACCUGCAAAGAAUUAUUUUCCAUUGGAAAAGCGUCGCCGUUGGAAGUUUCUGGUGUUUUCAGGAAAAAAGAAUAAGGUUGGAGGGUGCUGUUCCUACCGAGCAGCCUGUUGAACGCCUCGUGGUGCUCAGGGAGCACUGAAGAUAGCCGCUGUCUCUUCAGCUUCAUCUUGAGGCCACUCAGUGUCUCCACCACCCAGAUGUCGUUGGCCUCAGGGGCUGUCUCCUCAUCGGAUUCGAUGUCUCUCUUCCUUCCGCGGGACUGAGGCAAGGGGCAGGGGUCUACAAAGGGGGCUGAGUGAAGAAACCAGGCUACAGUACAAAGCUUCUGUCUUUGGAAUUCAGCCACGCUUUCCACACCCCCAAACCCAAACUCCCUCUUCAUUUCUCUGUGGCCUCAUAGAUGAUUGGCCUCUCCAAAACCACCUUCAUCUUUGUCCUUCAUUCAUAUGCAUUUGCCCCCAUUCAUCUUUGCCACUGUUUCAUACCUCCCACCACGCCCUCAAAACUCUUCCUGGUAGAUCAUUUCUCCCAUGAGGAUAAUGGGAUAAUUUCCUGUCUUCCUUUAUCUCCUCUUUGGAUGUCAUCUCCUAACCCUCCUUCCUUGCUUCCUGGGUUUUCCUUCCAGUGCGAUACCCUUGUCCCCGGCUCCCGUGCUCUCUUCUCCAAUCCCUGGCUUUCUGAAUCUCUCCUGUCACGUGCAGUCUAGUCAGACACACCUUCCUGGCUUCUGUACCCAUUUGUACUCACUAGUCAAGCCUGUCAAGUCCCUUCUCCUCCUGCUUCCUCACCUGAUGGUCCUGGGCUUUCUUCAUCUACCACGGCCUCCGGGGGGUACCCUGAUGUGCUAGGCUGGGGGCUCUGGCCCUCAGACUGGGCGGACGGUUGACAACUGGCCAUGAUUUCUCCCAAGCUCUUUGUGCCCUCCCAGGAGACUCAGACCCUCCUCUUCUCAAACUCCCCUUCUGGCUUCUGGGUGAACCCAAGCCCUGUUAUCCCUUCUCUAAGCCGGGGCCAAGCUAGGAGUAUGGACAUGCUCUGCGAAGAUGCUCUUGUCCACCUCCGUUGCCAAGAACCAUGGAGUCCAGUCUUUCCAAUCAGGAAGGUCAGAAGCCUCUGAUGUCAUGCACCAUUCCAGCCUGGCAGCCAUUUGAAGGAAGACACGUGCAACUGCGAGACCGAGGUCCACUUCUGGAGUUCAGGAUCAAGGCUAUCUCAUGUCGCCGAUCCAGCCUGCAACCGUCCUCCAAAACUGUCCUCGGGGUGUCUGGAUCACUCUACUCCUCUCCAGCAGAUGCGGGGCUCUCUGCAUCCUUCUAUUCCUGUUUCACGGUGCAGUCUGGCAGCAGAGGGAGGAAACAGACGAGGGAAGACCUAGAGACACCCUAGGAAGACGGCUUGCAGUGCUAACUCACAGAACAGAAUUCUGGGAUUGGGGAGACGGGAAGAGGUUCUGGAUACCGACUUCG